GACGAACGCUGGCGGCGUGCUUAACACAUGCAAGUCGAACGGAAAGGCCCUGCUUUUGUGGGGUGCUCGAGUGGCGAACGGGUGAGUAACACGUGAGUAACCUGCCCUUGACUUUGGGAUAACUUCAGGAAACUGGGGCUAAUACCGGAUAGGAGCUCCUGCUGCAUGGUGGUGGUUGGAAAGUUUCGGCGGUUGGGGAUGGACUCGCGGGUUAUCAGCUUGUUGGUGGGGUAGUGGCUUACCAAGGCGUUGACGGGUCGCCGGGCUGAGAGGGUGACCGGCCACAUUGGGACGGAGAGACGGCCCAGACUCCGACGGGAGGCAGCAGUGGGGAAUAUUGCACAAUGGGCGGAAGCCUGAUGCAGCAACGCGGCGGGCGGGAUGACGGCCUGCGGGUUGUAAACCGCUUUCGCCUGUGACGAAGCGUGAGUGACGGUAAUGGGUAAAGAAGCACCGGCUAACUACGCG
This 468-nucleotide ribosomal RNA is filed under the name uncultured bacterium. RNAcentral describes it as "partial 16S ribosomal RNA". It matches the Rfam family "Bacterial small subunit ribosomal RNA", at positions 28 to 507 of the family's 1533-position model. The record is from RNAcentral.